This is a long non-coding RNA of Herpailurus yagouaroundi (jaguarundi), 698 nucleotides long. RefSeq lists it as uncharacterized. The record is from RefSeq and is a predicted model, not a curated record. NCBI's taxonomy places the organism in Eukaryota, Metazoa, Chordata, Mammalia, Carnivora, Felidae. The transcript has 2 exons.
GGGCAUGGUCGGCUCCCUGGACUGUGCCUGUUCCCUGAGCCAGGACUUUGAUUUCAGCGUUCCUUUCUCUAAAGCCACGGCCACUGCAGCCCAGCAGUGACUCAAGCAGAUGGCUGUUGGUGACAAGCCUCUUCUGAUUGGUAAUAAAAAUACCAGAAGCUACACUGCAUUGUGUACAAAUACGUGAGGCUAUUGCAGAUUCCUUUGUAUCUCUAGAUUCUAUUUUGAGAGCGGGUUGAUCUUCUCCAUGCAGAACCCUCACAGAAUGAGCAAUCACGCCAGGACUCCUGGGUUCAUGACACACCAACCAUCACCCCAGCACCCGACUCCUCUUCUUCCAUUGGACUCUGCCCUGAAGCCUGCAGCAGAUAGCCAAAGAAACACAACUCAUGAGCCCUGAGGAAGCUGGUUCGCCUGUCUAGAAGCCAUCCUCAAAGUCUCCUGGGCACUUCCCCAAGUCUCCCCGGCCUGUUUGUCUCUGCACACACAGAUUGCUUUCUCCUGACCGCUUGCAGCCCUGUCUUUACUUGGCGAUUAAUUGUACAUCAUCCCUGACAUCUUUUACCGUGUUCUGCUAUAUUUUUAUUUAUUAUUGAUUCUACACAUGCCUAACAUUUGCUAAGUCCAAACCAUGUGCUGACAGCACUUAGCAAUGGUCUUGCUGAAGGGAUAAAAGACUAUUAAAUUGGGUUGAAACA